Molecule: small RNA, 482 nt
Filed under: uncultured fungus
Lineage: Eukaryota; Fungi
Description: eukaryotic LSU rRNA
Rfam family: 5.8S ribosomal RNA (bases 178-332)
Source: RNAcentral
AGUGUCCCUGGCCGCCUACACCCACUAUACAUCCACAAACCCGUGUGCACUGUCUUGGAGAAAGGCUUCAGAGAAGUUUUUUGUGGCCUCUCUUGGGGUCUUUCUUCGCUACAAACUCGAAUGGUUAGUAUGAACGUGGAACUUGGUUGGACCGUCACUGGCCAACAAACUAUACACAACUUUCGACAACGGAUCUCUUGGUUCUCCCAUCGAUGAAGAACGCAGCGAAACGCGAUAGGUAAUGUGAAUUGCAGAAUUCCGUGAAUCAUCGAAUCUUUGAACGCACCUUGCGGCUCUAUGGCAAUCCGUAGAGCAUGCCUGUUUGAGUGCCAUGAAAUCUCCCACCCCAAGCGGUUUUUAAAUGAAACGGCUUGGCGGAUGGGGUCUGGAUGGGUGCCUCUGCCCUGCGCUACCUAGCACAGGCUCGCCCGAAAUGCAUGAGCGCCUUGAGACACUUUGCAUCCGCUCUCUGUUUGGGAGGA